This 299-nucleotide ribosomal RNA is filed under the name uncultured bacterium. RNAcentral describes it as "partial 16S ribosomal RNA". It matches the Rfam family "Bacterial small subunit ribosomal RNA", at positions 475 to 776 of the family's 1533-position model. The record is from RNAcentral.
CUAUGCGCCUUGCCAGCCCGCUCAGGUGUGCCAGCAGCCGCGGUAAUACGUAGGGGGCAAGCGUUAUCCGGAUUUACUGGGUGUAAAGGGAGCGUAGACGGCAGUGCAAGUCUGGAGUGAAAGGCGGGGGCUCAACCCCCGGACUGCUCUGGAAACUGUACAGCUGGAGUGCAGGAGAGGUAAGUGGAAUUCCUAGUGUAGCGGUGAAAUGCGUAGAUAUUAGGAGGAACACCAGUGGCGAAGGCGGCUUACUGGACUGUAACUGACGUUGAGGCUCGAAAGCGUGGGGAGCAAGCAGG